AUCGUAAAACCUUCAGAAGGAAAGAAUGUUUUGUGGACCAUUUUUUUUUGUGUGUGGCAGUUUUAAGUU
Non-coding RNA from Rattus norvegicus (Norway rat), 69 nucleotides. The record is from Rfam. Lineage: Eukaryota; Metazoa; Chordata; Mammalia; Rodentia; Muridae.